Molecule: unclassified non-coding RNA, 298 nt
Filed under: Trechispora caucasica
Lineage: Eukaryota; Fungi; Basidiomycota; Agaricomycetes; Trechisporales; Hydnodontaceae
Description: partial contains 5.8S ribosomal RNA, internal transcribed spacer 2, and large subunit ribosomal RNA
Source: RNAcentral
CGCACCUUGCGCUCCUUGGUAUUCCGAGGAGCAUGCCUGUUUGAGUGUCUUGAAGUCAUCAACCCUUCCCGUUUUGUUUAACGGGUCGGGCUGGAUGUGGGGGCUUUGCUGCCGCAGAGGUGGCUCCCCUCAAAUGCAUCGGUUGGGCCUGUGGGUCAAACUCGACUGGGCGUUGUACCAUCCUCGCUCGACGGACGAGACCACUGUUGGCGCCCUUCCCCGACCUGCCUCUCGGGGGCGGUCAAAGCAAACUUUGAAAUCUGACCUCAAAUCAGGUAGGACUACCCGCUGAACUUAA